GCAAGUCGAGCGAGAAGCCAUCUUCGGGUGGUGGAGAGCGGCGAACGGGUGAGUAACGCGUAGGUAUCUACCUAGUAGUGGGGAAUAACCAUUGGAAACGAUGGCUAAAACCGCAUACGCCCUGAGGGUGAAAACUGAGGUGCUAUUAGAGGAGCAUGCGUUAGAUUAGCUAGUUGGUGAGGUAAUGGCUCACCAUGGCGACGAUCUAUAGCUGGUUUGAGAGGAGGAUC
RNAcentral lists this ribosomal RNA (230 nucleotides) under uncultured bacterium. RNAcentral describes it as "partial 16S ribosomal RNA". It matches the Rfam family "Bacterial small subunit ribosomal RNA", at positions 57 to 305 of the family's 1533-position model. The record is from RNAcentral.